AAAAGCUGUGCCUGGCUGGCUAGUCAAGUGACUGGAAUGGGGCAGGCCAGAAUUAUAAAAACCCUGGGCUUGGAGGCAGUGAAGGAUAGCAGCUGAAGGGGAAGAGGGUUGUGCUUAAGAGCUCCAUAGAGAGGCUUGGCUGUGGGUCUCGCUGCUGUGAGAGAGGAACUCCUGAGGACUCAUAGAGAAGUGAUGGUAGCCCCACAUGGAGGAGCAUAACAGAUGGUGGGAAGCAGAAGCAAAGAGCCAUGGAAAUAUAGCUACUAUGUCUAUGGAAGAAUACAUUUUUCAGUGAGUUAUGACUGACUGGAGUUUCUUCAGUGUUGACAUGAAAACUAGAUAAAGUACCAUAAAGCUUGACUUUCAGAUUAAAAGGGUAUGUUACCUGGGACACACAAUCUUGGGAAGUGAAGAUUGAUUGAGGAAAAUAACUUAAUAUCAAGAAAACAAAAGUGUAUCUGCAGAAACACACAUGUGCAUGCAUCUGAUAUAUACCAGCAAUCUCCCAUGUCUGGAUUAAAAAAAUCAAGUGACUUA
Molecule: long non-coding RNA, 537 nt
Organism: Alligator mississippiensis (American alligator)
Lineage: Eukaryota; Metazoa; Chordata; Crocodylia; Alligatoridae
Exons: 3
Source: RefSeq, a predicted model, not a curated record